This 7695-nucleotide long non-coding RNA is filed under the name Homo sapiens (human). Its description in RNAcentral is "HSALNT0162905". Lineage: Eukaryota; Metazoa; Chordata; Mammalia; Primates; Hominidae. The record is from RNAcentral.
GUAAAAGUUCCACUCGCUUUCUUCCAUCACAUUUUGCACAAUGUUACAUUUUCAUGGAAACUUACUGUGAAUAAGGUGCUGACAAUUGUACUGCUUAAUGCAUGACUCUUUCCAUAUCUUUAAUUUUCUCUAUAGAAAUUAUCACAAGCUGCCCUGCAGUAGGUUUAAGAUAAAUAUGUACUCAAAGCAGGUGGCUCAAUCCACUUAUCAGCAUUUGGCAUACCAGGGUUCAAUGGGUAAUCACAAAGAAGAACGGGGCAGAGCUAGAGAACAGAGAGAACGCUUUUUGUGACUCAAGUGUGCAGAAGGUAAUCAACUCUUCCUAAGGAUCAGGUAUGGAAACAAUCUGGUUCCCUAAACUCUUCUUUCAUAUGAAUCAAUUUGUUUUUUAAUGCUAAGGUGUCAGCAAACCUCUCAUCCUCAAGUCCAACACAAUGAUCUAUUAUUUUGGGGGAAGGUGAUGCAGCAACCUCCCCCCCUCCCCCACUUCUGGGAGAUGAGGUAUAAAACUUUAUUACCCUUAGAACUCAGAAAAAGGUCCAUUGUUUCUGGGGAAAUAAAUAAGCAAAAGUACUUUAACCCAUAAGGAAUGGUCAAGACAAUCUCUUGGACCCAGGAUUUUGCAUGAUUUCGAAGCAGAGUUUUGCUACCACUUGGAGAGGGGCAAUAAAGACUCUCUCACACAGGAUUUUCCACAAAUAGAAGACAGAUUUUUGCUAUAAGGAGAGUGAUAAAUACUCUCUAGAAAGAAACCCUAUGUCUAAGGAAAAGACAUAUUGGGCCUGCCUAAAACUUGGCUUGUCCAGAAGAAAAGAGAGUCCUCUGCACCCCUCAUAAUCCUAGUAUUGAGCAACAAGUACUCCUAGGGUAAGAGCAAGAGUUUUGAGUUUGUGUUCAUUGCGGAGGUCUAUGAUGACUGUUAAAAGCCCUGAGGGUGGGGCAGAAAUACACAGAACAAUUAUUCAACACAUCAUGCCCUCUCCUAGCAUGAGUAACAGCAACUUUCUUCUAAAGAUGAUGAUAACGACAAUAAUACCCAAACCCUUCUCAACUCCUGAUUAGAACAAUUCAUGUCUGACACUAAUGACCUCACUGAAAAAGACCUAUGCAAAUAUUCAGGCAUAAAUAGUAUUUAUCUAUGUUACUACUGAUAUCCUACAAAGGAUUUUGGACAGUUAAUUAAAAUAUAUAAAAGAGACUAAAAAAGCAAUAAUAAAAUCCAACAAUGCUACCAGAUAAGCAACCAGGAACAACAUAGUUAAACAUGUCACACAUGUUGGAAAUAACAGACAGAGACAUUCCAAUAACUAUGCCCAAUAUGUUUAUCUAUUUAAAGAAAAAUGUCAAAAUCAUUUAUGAACAGAUAAGACACUUCAAUAGAGAUGGGUAAUAUAAUAAUGUCACACUGAAAUUCCAGGAAAACACACACACUAUGAGAUGAGAUGAAUUCCUAUACACACACACACUAUGAGAUGAAUUCCUGUACACAUACACAUACACACACAGUAUGACAUGAAAUAUUCCCAUAAUGAAGUUUCCAGUAGAAUGGAAAACACUAAGGAGAGCAUCAUUCAUCUUAAAUAUAUAUCAAUAAAAGUUAUCAAACUGAAACAACAAAAGAAAAAUGUGAAAAACAAAGAAGAUAGCAUCUACAAGCUUUGUCACUAUAUCAAAUGGCCUAACAUAUAUGUAAGUGAACUCUUGGAAGGCAAAUAGAUAUAGAGAAGAAGAAAUAUAAAAAAGAGAAAUAACUAAGAACUUUAGCUAGCAAAGUAGAUUAAAUACAACUAUAUAAGAAAUUUUAUUAGUGUAAUGGUUGAACACCCUGAUUAAAAAUAAAGACAUUUUCAAAAAAAGAUAAAUAUAUACUUUCAACAGGACACUUAUUGUAACUUUAAAAACCUAAGUAAGUUAAAAAUCGAAGAUUAUAAAAAGACAUUCCAUGCUAACAAUAAUCAAAAGAAAGCUGGACUGGCUAUAUUAACCAUAUGACAAAGUAGACCUUAGAAUUAAAAGUAUCACUAAGACUAAUGGGGUACGGUAUAUAUAAGUAACAAGAUCAGUUCACCAGGAAAAUUUAAGAUCUUAAAAAUGUGUAAAAGAACUGAGAGAAUUGAAAGAAGAAAUAGAAAAACAGAAAUAUAAAAAGAAUUUAAACUCCUUCAAUAUUUUUCACUUUAAUUGUAUGUUGAAAUAAUAAUAUGAUAGAGCUAUGAUGUUAAAAUAUAUUAUUAAAACUAAUUUUACCUUUUUUAUGACAUCUGUGGAUCACAUCAUAUUUUUAUUGAGUGGUGCUGCAUUAGAGUAACUAAACAAUUGUACAUUAGAACACAUUUGGUUAGAACCUAUGAACAACAAUCUAAUUCUGGGGUAUUUCACUUGGUAUUCACUGCCUUAUACUGUGAUGCAAUCUAUAGAAAGAGAUUACAAUGCAAAAAUAUGGAAAACUGUUUACAAAGGGUUACAUCAAUGGUAUGUUUAAAACAUUUCUGUGAUUUCCAAGCCUUUCUGUGCUCAAUAUGAACUCAAUAUAAACCAAAAAUGACAGUAAAUGGAUUAUUUAAAACUUGAAAUGACUUGAAUUAUAUAUUUUUAACUGAUUAUUUUUUUAAAUGGUGAGUACGGUAAGUUUGUAUGUUUAUUUUUUAACUGUCCUUUAUUUCAAAAAUUACUCUGUGCAUUGUAAAAAAGAAAAAGAAAACAAGGUAUGAAAACUUUUUUUGGAGAUGAGAUAAGGGAGAUACAAAGAAAAUAUAGAUGGGUAUGUUAGAUGAGGCUAGACAAAGAAAAUAUAGAUGGGUAUGUUAGAUGAAGCCAGUGAUAAAAUUUAGCUCUCAAGGUACAUGUCAGAUCAUGUAACUUGUCAACAGUAGGUCAAAAUUUGACUUUCUAUUUUCUAGCCACUCUAGAAAAGAGAAAAAUGCAUUGAUUUACAAGAUCCACAGUGUGAAAACAAAAAUGAAAAUAAAUUAAAAAAAUAAAACUUGCUCAGACUAUUAAAGACUUAAAGAAAGAUGUUUCUUUGUUUUCUGUAGGGUGCUAUGUAAUGAGUAAACAUGGCAAUAAAAUUCUUACCAUAAAUGCAUAAACCAAUAUCAAAAAGCUAUCUGCCAAUAAACUAUUUGAUGUAUAUCUUCUGUAUAACAACACAGCUCAAUUUCAUAAAAUCCAGUCAACAAGAGAGCUAAAUAAUUCUUUCUGAACACAUAUAUCAUGAUCUGGUAUAAUGCAAGUAUACAAGAUAAGCUAUUUACAGAGAAUAAUGAAUUUCAGAUCACACAGGUAAUCUUUAUAUUGAUCACUGACUAUGUGUUUGGUUAGUAUUAAGCAGCAUAAAAGUUGUAGUUAAGAGUUGCCAAAAGAUAGCUGGGAGUGACACCAUUUCAGUUUUCCAAUUUAUUAAUAUGGAACUAGAAUUAACAUUCUCUAAUAAAAAUGGAAAUAUCUGCCAGAAUAGGCAGUAUAUAUAUGUGGUUUUGGGUCAGUUAUAGAGACACACACACACACACACACACACACACACACACGUGUGUAUAUAUGUACAUAUUAUACAUAAAUUAUAUUCACAGAUCUAUGAAUUUCACAAAAUGAACACAUUUCUGUAAUCAGCAUCCAAAUCAAGAAACAGAAUAGUACACCUAGAAGGCCCCAUGCCUCCCCAUAGUCUCCUCUUCUAAAAUGAUUUCUACUCUGCCUUUUCUAACAGCAUAAAUAGUUGUUAGAGGUUUUUAAACUUUAUGUAAGUGGUAUUAUAUAGUAUAUACUGCAUUGAAUUUGGCUUAUUUUAAUUAAUAUUGUUUGUGGAAUUUAUGCAUUUUGUUUUAUGUACUUUUAUAAUUAUAAAAUCUUAUUUAAUGACAUAAUUAAAUUGUUUUAUCUUAUAAAAAAUUAUUAUUACAUAUUAUAAUGGCCUAAAUAUUUGUGUCCCCUCAAAUUCAUAAACUGAAGUCCUAACCCCCAAUCUGAUGGUAUUAGGAAAUGGAGCCAUUACAAGGCAAUCAGGUCUAGGUGAAGUCGUGAGGGCAGAUCCCCUAUGAUGGAAUUAGUGCUCUUAUAUGAUGAGGAGAGUCAGUGCAUCUUCUCUCCGUCAUGUAAAGAUAAAACUGGAAGGCAGCCUAUUGCCAGCCAAGAAGAGGGCCCUCAACAGAACCUGACCAUUCUGGCACCAUCAUCUAAGCCUUCCAGGGUCCAGAACUGUGAGCAAUUAUUUUCUGUUAUGUAAGCCACCCAGUAUAUGGUAUUUUAUUAUGGCAUCCCAAGCCAACUAAAACACAUACUUAUUAGAGAAAUGAAUUGAAAUUUCGAAAUGUAAAUAAUAUAUCCUCUCCAACUUUGUGGGUUUUUUUAUUUGUUUGAUGAUGCCUUUGGAUUAAAUAGAAGUUUGAAUGUAGAAGUUUAAAUGUAGUCUAGUUUAUUAUCCUUCCUUUAUUGUUAAUACUAUUUAUGGCUUAAAAAAUAUUUGCCUAAACUAAGAUUAUAACCAAAAUUUUCUGUCAUUCCUCUAAAGUAUUUUUAUUUUUUCAUUACUGUUUAAGUUUAAAAUAUUUUAAGCAUUAGGUUUUCUAUAUAAUGUAAGACAGAAGUUCAGAAACAUUCUCCCCCAUCAUGGAUAUCCAAUUGACCCAAAACCAUUUAUUGAAAAUCAAAACAAAAACAAAUUUAUUGUUUCUUACUCUUAUUCAAUGCCAUCUUUAUAAUUCAAAUGUCAAUACAUGUGUGGAUCUGUUUCUGGAUUCUAAUCCAGUGGCCAAUUUGUCUAUUUUCACACAAAUAGCAUAAUGUCUUAAUUCAUCUAGGUUUAUGAUAUAUCUUGAUAUUUAUCUGGUGUUAUAAGUCCUCCAGAAUUGUUUUUCUAUAAGUUUCUUGAACUUAGCAUUUGAACUUUAUAAUUAGAGAUAAAGACAAUUUAUCUAUUUUAUUAUUUACCAAAAAAAUUUAAUGGGAUUUAUGUUGGAAUUCAAAUGUAUCUAUAGAAAAAUUUGGGGAGAAUUUUCAUGUCUAUAAUAUGAAGUCUUGCUAAUCCCUUCAUUUAAUUGUCUAUUUUAAUUUCUCCUUAUCAUUUGUAGUUUUUAGUAUAGAAGUCUGUAUCUGUCCCAAAUAGUUUCAGAAUAUUUGUAAAUAUCAUUAAGGGAAAAUUCAAUGACUUGAUCUCACUUCUCUAUCCCUCUGUUCUGUUGGAGUUUUAGUUCACUAGAAUCUCUAAUUUUUGUCUCUUCAUCUCUUUAAGACCUACAAAAGCUUCAAUAGGUUUGUCUACCUCUAAAUACAGUCCCCUGCUUGGGCCCUUUGCCCAGAUAUUUAGCUUCCUGUCAUGCACCCCUCAUUAGCAAAUGUGCCAAAGGGAAAAAAGCUGUGUCUCACUGCUAAACAAAAUGUUCCCUCCUCUGAAAUGUCAUCUCCUCAUUUCCUGUUUCCCCGUUACUUAUCCAAUCUCUUUGAGAUGCAAUUUGUUGUUCUGCUCUGAUUUUUUAUUCAGCCCUUCUAGUUGUUGCUAGUCAGUGACAGUUGCAUUCACUUAUCACAAAUGGGAGCAGAAGGUCUUUCCACACACUUUUUACUAAUUCCCAUUUAUUCUGUGGAAAGGUUUCUUUACAUAUGAAUUGCCCUUAACUAUCGAUUUUAUCAUAUAUUAUUCCAUAUAAAAGAUAUCUGGAAAUUUUUACAGAACUAUAAUCUGACUAUACAACCAUCUCUUUAAAGGGACUGUGUUAAGAGGGGGCCACAGAACUCCUUAAUAUUGAGAAGCCUAAUUGAGAAGGUUGGCACUUUGUUUAUGUGUGCCUGUGUUUAGCAUAUUUGCUUUCUAAAUAAAAAGAAGAACAUAGAGACUUUAACAAUAUAAAAUUCAGAAAGAUAUCCAAACAUAGGAUGUUCAACCAAAGUGCAGUGGCAGUUCAGUGAAGAAAGAAUAAUCUCUCAAGAAAUGAUGAUGAGGCAAUUGAGUACUUAUAUCCAAAAAAUGGAAUAAAUCAUUGCUUCAUACCAAAUACAAAAUUGAAAUAAAUUAAUGUACAAUUAGUUCAUAAUAUAAACCCAAUAAAACAUUUAAAGGAAAAUAUAGGAUAAAUUAUUUGUGAUCUUGGGUUAUGCAGAGAUCUUCUAGAAACAACACUAAAAGCAUGAAGCAUAAAGAACACAUUUGUAAGUUAAACUCAUCAGGACUUUCAAAUGUUCUGCUCUUUGAAAGGCACUGUUAAGAGAAUAAGAAAACCCAUUGACUAAAUGAAAAUAUUUAUCCAUUACAUAUCUGAUAAAGGCCUAAUAUCCAGGAUAUAUUUUAAAAACUCUAAAAAUUCAAUAAGAAAAAAAUCACCCCAAUUAUAAUAUUUAUUAGCAAAUGCUUUGAACAGAUACUAUGAAAGAAAAUACACAGAUGGCAAAUAAGCCAAUUAGCAAAUUAAUGUUGCUCAACAUUGUUAGUCAUCAGAGAAAUGCAAAUUAAAGCCACAUUGAGAUCUCUCCACACACCUAUCAGAUACCUGAAUGUAGAUUUUAAUAAAAAAAAAAAAACUAAUUGUUUAAAUGCUGCCUUUAGGCUGUAUAAAAUUCCUAAUACUUUCCUUUGGAAGAAUUAUGAAAGAAGUAUAGUCAAAAGACUCAAAAAGCUCAGACGCAUUUCCCUAAAUAUGUUUUGGAAUUUGUUAACAGACGUUAUAAUCAAAUACCUCCUGGUGUGGGCUGAGCUUUUGGGGGAUAUAUUUCUCCAAAAUGUUUAUGUUGAAGUCCUAACUCCCACUAUCUCAUGAUGUGACUUUAUUUGGAGAUAGAGUUUUUAAACAGGUAAUUAAGUUUAAAUGAGAACCAUUACGGUGGUCCUAAUCAAAUGUGACUAAUGACCCUAUAGGAAGAAAAGAUUAAAACACAGACAGGGACUGAGGAAAGACCAUAAGGAGACAGAGGGUAAAGACUGCCAUCUCCAAGGCAAAUAGGCCGUAGAAGAAAGAACACUGCCAUAUAACCUCUAGAACUUUGAGAAAGUACAUUUCUGCUUAAACCACUCAGCACUUUGUUGUGCAUCCCUAACAAACUAGUAUAGUUCUCAUGAAUUAAUUCAUUUAGAAAUGUUGAAGUCAAAUUAAUUGGACUCACUUAUUGUAAUGCUUCUAAAAAGCCUUUAUUUGUUAUCUUAUUCUGAGCAGCUGAAAAGGGGAAACAAAUUCUUUAGAAUUUUAUAAGCUUAUUUAACAAUGACUCUUUUUCUAUUCAAGGACAUCUUAAAGAUCUAGGGUUUGAUGGAAACACUUUGGUGAAUAAUGAACUAGAAAACAAUAAUAUUCAUUAAGAAAAAAAUAAAGCCAGUAGCUGUCAACCUGAUUAUAUAAUUAAGUAAGACUUAGCCUAAGUCCAAGUUUCAUUCAAAAAACAUUGGAUCCAAUUGUUCCAAAGCAGAGACACCUGAAAAAACACUAGUCUCUUAAUUAUUUUAAAAAUAUGUGUAGACUACCUUAAAAUAAUUUUUAAAUCUUAAUGUCCUGUUCAGUAUUGUUUCAAAAUAUUUUCUUUAUUAUUUAAAAUUAGUGAGUGGGUCAGGUGCAGUGGCUCAUGCCUGUAAUCCCAGCACUUUGGGAGGCCAAGGCGGGUGGAUCACCUAGGGUCAGGAGUUCAAGAACAGCCUGACCAACAUGUUGAAACCCUGUCUCUAUUAAAAAUACAAAAAAAAUUAGCCGAGCGUGGUGGCACAUGCCUGUAAUCCCA